UUAAGUAAGAAAGUGCACACGAUGGAUGCCUAGGUGAUCACUGGCGAAGAAGGACGUUUCAGCCAACGCUAAUCUUCGGAGAGCUGGCAAGAAAGCUUUGACCCGGAGGAUUCCGAAUGGGUAAACCUAAACUAACAUAGCUUAUCCUAAACUGAACACAUAAGCUUAGGAUGUUAACGUGGAGAACUGAACCAUCUAAGUACCCACAGACAAAAGAAAUCAAAUGAGAUUCCCUUAGUAGUGGCGAGCGAACAGGGAUGAGCCGUGCAUUUGGAGAGUAUGCUUUGACUAACCGAACAUUCUUGAACGAAUGACCAUAGGAGGUGAUAGGCCUGUAGGUGAAAGUUAAUACCGUACUGCAUGCAGCAAUAAGUAGAACGAGGCACGUGAAACCUUGUUUGAAGAUAGGGGGUCCAUUCUCUAAGGCUAAAUACAUGUGAUCAACCGAUAGCGAACUAGUACCGUGAGGGAAAGGUGAAAAGAAUCCCCGAAAAGGAAGUGAAACAGAGCCUGAAAUCAUGUGCAUACAAACAGUCGAAGCUUUUCUUAAGCCUAUCUUCUAGGUUGAUUCUAAGUAAAGUAACGACGUACCUUUUGUAUAAUGGGUCAGCGAGUUACAUUCAAUAGCAAGCUUAACUUAGUCAGGAAGGCAUAGCGAAAGCGAGUCUUUAAGGGCGUCAAGUUGUUGAAUGUAGACCCGAAACCAGGUGAUCUAAUCAUGGGCAGGUUGAAGGUUAGGUAAUACUAACUGGAGGACCGAACCCACUAGCGUUGCAAAGCUAGGGGACGACCUGUGAUUAGGGGCGAAAGACCAAUCAAACCUGGAGAUAGCUGGUUCUCCCCGAAAGCUAUUUAGGUAGCGCCUUAUGAAAUCACUCCUGGGGGUAGAGCACUGUAAUGGCUUAGAGAUCUUUAAGGGUUAUCUUUCCAUAGCAAACUACGAAUACCAGAAAGAGUUCAAUCAUGGGAGACAGACGCUGGGUGAUAACGUCCAGUGUCGAGAGGGAAACAACCCAGAUCGCCAUCUAAGGUCCCUAAAUGUAGCUAAGUGUAAAACGAGGUGUCCAAGCAAAAACAAUCAGGAUGUGGGCUUAGAAGCAGUCAUCAUUUAAAGAAAGCGUAACAGCUCACUGAUCUAGCUUGGAUGCACGGAAGAUAUAACGGGGCUAAGCUGCAUACCGAAGCUGCGAACAUAUAAAGCUAUGUGGUAGGGGAGCGUUCCGUAAACCAACGAAGGUGCUUUGCUAGAAGUAUUGGAGGUAUCGGAAGUGCGAAUGCUGACAUGAGUAGCAAGAAAAGAGGUGAGAAUCCUUUUCACCGAAAGCCCAAGGGUUCCUAUGCAACGUUGUUCGUCAUAGGGUAAGCCGAAGUCCUAAGGUGAGGCCAAAAGGCGUAAUCGAUGGUUAACAGGUUAAUAUUCCUGUGCCGUUAACACUAUAGCGAUGGGGUAACAAACUAAAGGUAACUAGCCAAGAGCGUGGACUCCUCUGGUUAUUGUGUUGAAGGAAUGCUUAGGAAAAGACCAAGCAGCUAUUUGUACUAUAAUUCCCUGGUCACAAUACGAGUCUAAAGUGGUUACUGAUGGUUUCAGGAAAAGCCUCUAAGUGACUAAAAGUGUAGCGUUCGUACCGCAAUCCAACGCAGGUGGGCAGGAUGAAGAUUCUAAGGUGUUUGAGAGAACUCAGGAGAAGGAACUCGGCAAAUUGAUACCGUAACUUAGGGAAAAGGUAUGCCUCAAGAAUAGCUGAUACAACAUCAUAAAGUUCAAGAGGUUGCAAUGAAUCGGUGGCUGCGACUGUUUAAUAAAAACACAGCACUCUGCUAACACGAAAGUGGAUGUAUAGGGUGUGACACCUGCUCAGUGCCAGAAGAUUAAUUGAGAAAGUGAAAGCUUUCAACUAAAGUCCUGGUAAACAGCGGCCGUAACUAUAACGGUCCUAAGGUAGCGAAAUUCCUUGUCGGGUAAGUUCCGACCUGCACGAAUGGUGUAACGAUGGCCAUACUGUCUCCUCCUGAGACUCAGCGAAAUUGAAAUGGUUGUGAUGAUGCAAUCUACCCGCGGCUAGACGGAAAGACCCCAUGAACCUUUACUGUAGCUUUGCAUUGAGAUUUAAGUCGAUCUGUAUAGGAUAGGUGGGAGGCUUUGAAGUGUGGACGCCAGUUUGUGCUGAGCCAACCUUGAAAUACCACCCUUUUCAGCUUAGAUGUCUAACCUGUUCCGUUAACCGGAAUAGGAACAAUGUAUGGUGGGCAGUUUGACUGGGGCGGUCUCCUCCUAAAAAGUAACGGAGGAGCACAAAGGUACGCUAACUACGGACGGGAAUCGUACUAAUAGUGUAAUGGCAUAAGCGUGCUUAACUGUAAGACAAACGAGUCGAACAGAUGCGAAAGCAGGUCAUAGUGAUCCGGUGGUUCUGUAUGGAAGGGCCAUCGCUCAACGAAUAAAAGGUACUCUGGGGAUAACAGGCUUAUACCGCCCAAGAGUUCAUAUCGACGGCGGUGUUUGGCACCUCGAUGUCGGCUCAUCUCGUCCUGGGGCUGCAACAGGUCCCAAGGGUAUGGCUGUUCGCCAUUUAAAGAGGUACGUGAGCUGGGUUUAAAACGUCGUGAGACAGUUUGGUCCCUAUCUACCGUGGGUGUUGGAUAUCUGAAGGAAGCUGUUUCUAGUACGAGAGGACCGGAACGGACAAACCUAUUGUGUACGGGCUGUUAAACCAUUGGCACUGCCCGGUAGCUACGUUUGGAAAAGAUAACCGCUGAAAGCAUAUAAGCAGGAAGCUUGUCCUAAGAUGAGAUAUCCCAGGCUAUGUCCUAAAGGGUCGUUCUAGACUAGAACGUUGAUAGGUUGGGUGUGCAAGCAUAGUAAUAUGUUUAGCUAACCAAUACUAAUGAACCGUGAGGCUUAAACCU
Molecule: ribosomal RNA, 2910 nt
Filed under: Candidatus Tremblayella phenacoccinincola
Lineage: Bacteria; Pseudomonadati; Pseudomonadota; Betaproteobacteria
Description: bacterial LSU rRNA
Rfam family: Bacterial large subunit ribosomal RNA
Source: RNAcentral